Molecule: long non-coding RNA, 289 nt
Organism: Colossoma macropomum (tambaqui)
Lineage: Eukaryota; Metazoa; Chordata; Actinopteri; Characiformes; Serrasalmidae
Exons: 3
Source: RefSeq, a predicted model, not a curated record
UAUUGGGCUACCCUGCUGUAGAGGACUAUGAUUUGACAGACAUCAUACAAACACACUACAUCACAAUUCAGCUACUUCACAAAUAGUGAUCGAAGCUGACUUCACGAAGGAAUUUGGUGUUAUUUGAAACAAUCAAGAUGAAUGGAAAAACAUUGACUGCAGUGUGCAUGUUAAUGGCCACAAUAAACUGUGUUAUAACACAAGACAACACAACUACAGCUAACACAGAAUCAGUAACAAAUGUCACAAAUUUCAAUGAGGAAUCAACUACAGCUUUAGCAGGGUCUAC